GGGGAUUUAGCUCAGCGGUAGAGCAUUUGCCUAGCGAGCGCAAGGCCCUGGGUUCGGUCCCCAGCUCCG
Rattus norvegicus (Norway rat) is the source of this 69-nucleotide non-coding RNA. The record is from Rfam. NCBI's taxonomy places the organism in Eukaryota, Metazoa, Chordata, Mammalia, Rodentia, Muridae.